This 72-nucleotide transfer RNA is filed under the name Vibrio cholerae. Its description in RNAcentral is "tRNA-Gln-TTG". It matches the Rfam family "tRNA". Rfam says of the family: Transfer RNA (tRNA) molecules are approximately 80 nucleotides in length. Their secondary structure includes four short double-helical elements and three loops (D, anti-codon, and T loops). Further hydrogen bonds mediate the characteristic L-shaped molecular structure. tRNAs have two regions of fundamental functional importance: the anti-codon, which is responsible for specific mRNA codon recognition, and the 3' end, to which the tRNAs corresponding amino acid is attached (by aminoacyl-tRNA synthetases). tRNAs cope with the degeneracy of the genetic code in two manners: having more than one tRNA (with a specific anti-codon) for a particular amino acid; and 'wobble' base-pairing, i.e. permitting non-standard base-pairing at the 3rd anti-codon position. Lineage: Bacteria; Pseudomonadati; Pseudomonadota; Gammaproteobacteria; Vibrionales; Vibrionaceae. RNAcentral also lists the same sequence under 4 other names. The record is from RNAcentral.
AGGUCUAUCGCCAAGCGGUAAGGCAACGGGUUUUGAUCCCGUCAUCCCAUGGUUCGAAUCCAUGUAGACCUG